Molecule: ribosomal RNA, 447 nt
Filed under: uncultured bacterium
Lineage: Bacteria
Description: bacterial SSU rRNA
Rfam family: Bacterial small subunit ribosomal RNA
Source: RNAcentral
UCAAGAAACUUCCACAAUGGGCGAAAGCCUGAUGGAGCGACGUCGCGUGAUGGACGAAGUGCUUCGGCACGUAAACAUCUUUUAUGUGGGAUGAAAUUAUUGACAGUGCCACAUGAAUAAGGGGCUCCUAACUCUGUGCCAGCAGGAGCGGUAAUACAGAGGCCCCAAGCGUUAUCCGGAAUCACUGGGCGUAAAGGGUGUCGAGGCGGUUGUAUUAGUCGUUCGUAAAAUCUACGAGCUUAACUUGUAGGCGGCGAACGAAACGGUACGACUUGAGGUUUGGAGAGGUGCGUGGAACUCACGGUGUAGGGGUGAAAUCCGUUGAUAUCGUGGGGAACACCAAAGGCGAAGGCAGCGCACUGGCCAAAAUCUGACGCUCACACACGAAAGCUAGGGUAGCGAAGAGGAUUAGAUACCCCUGUAGUCCCUGAGCGGGCUGGCAAGGCG